Molecule: ribosomal RNA, 221 nt
Filed under: uncultured bacterium
Lineage: Bacteria
Description: partial 16S ribosomal RNA
Rfam family: Bacterial small subunit ribosomal RNA
Source: RNAcentral
UUUUCUUAAGUCUGAUGUGAAAGACCUUCGGCUUAACCGGAGAAAGUGCAUCGGAAACUAGGAUAACUUGAGUGCAGAAGAGGGUAGUGGAACUCCAUGUGUAGCGGUGGAAUGCGUAGAUAUAUGGAAGAACACCAGUGGCGAAGGACGGCUACCUCGGUCUGCAACUGACGCUGAGACUCGAAAGCAUGGGUAGCGAACAGGAUUAGAUACCCUGGUAG